RNAcentral lists this ribosomal RNA (216 nucleotides) under Triticum aestivum (bread wheat). Its description in RNAcentral is "partial small subunit ribosomal RNA". Lineage: Eukaryota; Viridiplantae; Streptophyta; Magnoliopsida; Poales; Poaceae. The record is from RNAcentral.
AUGGCAAACAACUCUGAUCACCUAAAGAAGGGAUUCAAUACCCUGGUGGCGUUAGGUGCUUGGAUUCUUUGGACUCACCGCAAUGCAUGUGUGUUUGACGGAGCAGCUCCAAGCAUGGCAAGAGCGCUGGACACUGCCGGUGAUGAGCGGCGUCUUUGGGAGAUUGCAGGUGCACGGGGCCUCAUUUUCCCCUUUGAUUUUCAGGCGAGAAUGUAA